RNAcentral lists this long non-coding RNA (4874 nucleotides) under Canis lupus familiaris (dog). RNAcentral's name for it is "lncRNA (ENSCAFG00000055806.1)". Lineage: Eukaryota; Metazoa; Chordata; Mammalia; Carnivora; Canidae. The record is from RNAcentral.
UUUUUUUUUUUAUUUUAAUUCCAGUAUAGUUGACAUACAGUGUUAUAUUAGUUUCAGGUAUAUGAUAUAGUGAUUCAGCAAUUCCAUACAUCACCCAGUGCUCAUCACAAGUGACUCCUUAAUCACCAUUACUUAUUUCACACACCCCCAAUACUUGUUCCCUUCUGGUAACCAUCAGUUUGUUCUCUAUAGUUAAGAGUCUGUUUCUUGCUUUCUCGGUCUUGCUCUCCCCAUUUUUCCCUUUGCCCAUUUGUUUUAUUUCUUAAAUUCCACAUGAGCGAGCUCCUAUGAUAUUUGUCUUUCUAUGAAUUAUUUAGCUUGGCAUUAUACUCUCUAACUUCAUCCAUUCUCCUAUAUAGAGACUCCAUACGAACUACACAUCAGAUACAAUCCUUGAUACAGGUUCCCAAGUACUAAUUUUGUAUACAUACUUUUCUGCUAAAUUCUGUGCAUUUAUCUCUUUAGACUAUUUUUCUUCUGGUAGCCAUUGGUACAACCUGUCCAACCAAGUUCAAUCUUCCAGAACAUUACCAGAUACUAGAUUAUAUGGCUGGCAUGUUUAUAGGCAAAAUCCUAGAACAUGGAGCAGGCAAAGAGAAUUUUCCUCUCCACACAUUGAAAACCAGUCUCAAGUAGAGAUAAGCAAGGCCUGUAAUUGACAAGUAAUCUUAAGAGCUCUAGAACUGAUAUGUUUACACAAUACAAACAUCCUCUGAAUUCACAAUACUUAUUCAUCCUCUAUUUUCCCAAUCAGACCACCCAUUCACCACACCCUUUGUGGAACACAAUAAAAUAUCUAAUGUCUCUUUCAGAUAAAAAAAUGGAUGAAUUUCUUGAAGCUUUAGGGAACAUGACAUAUAAUUACCCUCUCCUAUAAUUUCCUAUAUUACAACUCUGAAGUUUGGAAUGCAUAUCCCUAUAAUUACUUCUAUAUGUAAUUACAUUUACAUAAUACUUACAUGAUUUUAUUUACAUAAAGAGGUAAUGAUUCAUUUUUCAGAAACUUUUUAUAUGUCCCAAGCAGGACACAUUGGAGCUAUAUUAUUUCUUACAUGGAAUACUAUGAAAAAAAAAAAGAAUAUACACAUACAUUAGCUUGUUGUUAGGCAAGUUUAUAAAAAUUGGAGGAUUGAUAUUCAAAUAGAUGUAAGAAUGAAGAAGAGUAGAAAAGGCAUUCUCUUGUGUCAGAGUGACAAAAUACUGUCUCAAUAAAGAGAUAUAUUACAUCUUAAGUAUAAUCAACAUUAAAGCACUCUGUAAUGAUGAAGAGAUUGAAUGCAUGGAUUUUCCCCCUGGAGUUGUAGCUAUUCCACCCCAGAUGCAUGUAGCACCCAGUGGGUUUCAAUGCAUAAUGGGAAGAUUUAAAGCUUUGGAGCCAUUUAUAUCUGGAUUCAAAUCCUAUCUCUGAAACUUCCAGUUGAAUGAUCUUAGACUAGUUGUUUAAUCUUUCUGAGUCUCUUUUUUUCCAUCAAAGUUCAGACAAUCAUACAUAUACUCCAGAAUGCUCCUUAAAGAUUAAGUAACUAAUAGAAAUCAAAGAGUUUGUUGCAUAAGGUAGGCAAUCAACAAAAUGUCAUUCCUGUCUUUCAAUUAUUUUCCUUAGAGAAUUUUAUGUAUCUCCAUAGUGGCUUUUGCCUGUUAGUAGUUAAGCCAGGUAAUUAAGAUUAAUUUACAGAUGGAACUAAUUUCCAAAUAAUUUCUUUAAUAUAGAAGUUUUCUUUUCUUUUUUUUUUUUUAAAGAUUUUAUUUAUUUAUUCAUGAGAGACACAGAGAGAGAGAGAGAGAGAGAGAGAGGCAGACACACAGGCAGAGGGACAAGCAGGCUCCAUGCAGGGAGCCCGACGUGGGACUCGAUGCCCGGUCUCCAGGAUCACGCCCUAGGCCGAAGGCAGUGCUAAACUGCUGAGCUACCCGGGCUGCCCAUAGUAUAGAAAUUUUCAAAUUCUAAUGAAUAUCAGAAUCCCCUGGAGGGCUUGUCAAACCAUUAGUUCCCAGACCCCAUCAUCAGAAUGUUUGAUUUAGGUGGUUUGAGUAGGCCCAUGAGUUUGUAUUUUUCAAAAGUUAUGCUGGGGCACCUAGGUGGCACAGUCAGGUAAGCCUCUGACUCUUGGUUUCAGCUCAGGCUAUGUUCUAAUGUUUGUGAGAUCAAGUCCUGCAUGGGGCUCCACCUUCAGUGCAGAGACUGCUUGAGUUUCUCUCUCCCUCUCUCUCUGUCCCUCCCUGCCUCAAAUAAAUAAAUCUUUAAAUACAUUUUUAUAAAAGUUAUGUUGAUGUUGCUGGUUGAGGACCACACUUUGAGAACUGAUACUAUAUGUUCAACCAUUAAAAUGAUGAUUGGCAAAAAGAAAAAGAGAGGAAAGGCCACAUUUCCCACAGUGAUAUUUACUCUAUCCUAAACUAUAAAUAUAUUCAUUAUAAGAGUCAACAUGAUCCUGUAGAUGGGGAGUCAGUACAACCAGAUACGUCCCUCUCUCAGCAUAUGACCUAGGGCAUGUCACUUCAUUAAAUUUGGCUCCAGUUUCUCCAACUUAAAAUUUAAAGGACUAGAGUAGGUCAAUGUCUUUCUUUUAUUUAUUUAUUUAUUUUUAAAACUGUGUUCUUUAAGCAUGUGGGGAGGAAGUCUUCAGAAUAAACCCAGGGAUGCAUUGGUGGUAGAGUUGAACAGACAAGAAUUUGAGCUUUUCCUAUCCCCAAGUAGAUCAGCUCUUCUUAUAUAACUUUUAUAUAUAGUAUAGAUUCACAUAAAACAAAACAGAAAAAAAAAAAUCAAAUAAAAAUUCAAACAAAUAAUCCAGUCUGAGAAAAACUUUGUGGUAGAUCAUAUCUGUGAUCACUUUUACAUUAGUUUUCACAGAUAUUAAGCUCCAUAUAUAGAACACUCUGUACUUCCAGUUUUCUGUACUUAUAAUGAUAAUCAAUAGUGAUAAAACCCAAGACACUGCAAAUCUUCAAACUUCAAGCUAUCUUCAGGGUACUUUUUAGUGUUAAUAUUUUUUCUAUCUAAUUAUUUGAAAACAGAUAAGCCAUCCUUAUUCCCUGUGAUGACACUAUUAAUCAAUAUAUCCAUACACUACUCUGAUUAAUAGUCCAGGCAAUUCCAUGAUACAGUUAACAGUUCUGAGUGUUUCCUCUGUGCUACAUAGUAUACUAAGAGCUUAAAAUGUAUUACCUAUUUCAAUCUUUGGAAAAACCGUUUUAAAUGAUAUCAUUAUUCCCUAUCAGUUACAAAUGUAGCAUCUGUAGCAAAGAGUCACAGCUGGUAAAAGAUGAGGACAGAUAUAAUUCUAAAUCUACUUGUCUCUAAAGUUUAUGCUCUAUUUAUGCUAGAAAAAGAUCAAAUACUCAAGUAGUUAUCAAAUGUGUCAAUCGAAACAUGUAAAUAAAUCUCUAAUACAAAAAAUAAUUUAAAAGAACAAAGAUACUAUAUCCCUAUGUGAGAGGAGCCCUUUCAUACAGUGAAUAAAAAGGAGGAUUUAAAUGGUUUGCCCAGAAUCAUAGAGGCCGUCUCAUGUAUCAUAAAAAUCAUUACUUUAUUUUAUUAUUUAUUUGAUUUUUCAAAGUUUGCAAAUGUUAACUGAAAGGCUUAUGGUUAAGAUAAUGUAAUUAAAACAAACAAAAGCACAAGUUGCCUAAAUGCCAUAGUCAAACGUAGUAACACUUUUGAGUUGGAAGUAUGGUAAGAUUUUGAAGUAGGGAAGGAAAACAUGAAACACUGAAAACCACCAUAGAGCCACCUUCUUGAACUAAUAACCUCUUAAUCAUGGGUACUGACUCCAGAGAUGCUUCAUUUUAAACCUCUUAGUUCUAUGUGAAGAAACCUUUAAUGAAGAUUAGCUCCAUGGGCCAUAAUCUAAAGAGACCUAGAAAGUGAUUUUGUAUAAUCUCUGAGCAGGUCAGUAGACAGAGGAACCCUUUUAAUCCAAAGACAGUCACCCAUCUUCUUAUUAACUGUUCAAGCAAUUUAGAAAAAAAUUAGGGGCCACCCCAAAUCACCUUGAUCACUAUGUCUACUCGAGUUAGAAAUCAGACGAUAUCCCUCUUGAAGUGGUGGUAAUUUGCACUGUAAAUCAGGGUUUUAUAGUUGAUCCUGUUGCUCUUCCUUGGGAUGUUAACUAACUAGGUGCCCUCCACCAAGUGGGCCUAUUCAUCUGUAUUCUGUGGCUGUAUACAUUACCUGUUUGCAGCGAGUAUUUGUGAAGGCUGUGAGAAGGGAUAACCACAAACUUUAUGUAUAAGUUACAAUACAGACAAUCCCUGAUGUAGGAUGGUUUGAAUUAGGAUUUUUUUUUAACUUUAAGAAGGUGUACAAGUAAUACACAUCCAGUAGAAACCAUAUUUUGAAUUUUGAUCUUUUCCUAGGCUAGUGACAUGUGUUAUGAUAUUCUCUCAAGAUGUUACAUAAUGGCAGUGAGCUCGGGCUCCCAGUUGGCCCCAAGAUCACCAGGUACACAACUAACACAUUUACACCAUCCUAUACCCAUAUAACUAUUCCACUUUCCACUUUCACCACAGUAUGAAAUAGGUUACAUAAGGCAUUCAACACUUUAUUAUAAAAUAGAUUUUGUGUUGGAUGAUUUUCCCUUACUGUAAAUGUUCUGAGCAUGUUUAUGAGUGCAUUAGGUUAGAUGUGUUAAAUUUAUUUUCAACUUAAAGAUAUUUUCAACAUAUAAUGGAUUUAUCCAGACAUAACAUCAUGGUAAGUAGAGGAAGAUUUGCACUUUUUACAUAUAAAUGAAAACAGGAAUCAUCUUGGUCUCAAUUAUUUCAAUUGAGAAAUUAAAUUUAGUUCAUUGACACAUACAUUAUGUAUUUUUUAAAAAAUUUUCUCAUGGCCUCAUAAUUUAGAAAUCCCAGUGAAAAAUAUUAACUAAGGA